Molecule: ribosomal RNA, 428 nt
Filed under: uncultured bacterium
Lineage: Bacteria
Description: partial 16S ribosomal RNA
Rfam family: Bacterial small subunit ribosomal RNA
Source: RNAcentral
CCUACGGGAGGCAGCAGUGGGGGAUAUUGCACAAUGGGGGAAACCCUGAUGCAGCGACGCCGCGUGGGUGAAGAAGUAUUUCGGUAUGUAAAGCCCUAUCAGCAGGGAAGAAAGAAGACGGUACCUGACUAAGAAGCCCCGGCUAACUACGUGCCAGCAGCCGCGGUAAUACGUAGGGGGCGAGCGUUAUCCGGAUUCACUGGGUGUAAAGGGAGCGUAGACGGCCGUGCAAGCCAGGAGUGAAAGCCCGGGGCCCAACCCCGGGACUGCUCUUGGAACUGUGCGGCUAGAGUGCGGAAUGCGUGGUGUAGCGGUGAAAUGCAUAGAUAUCACGCAGAACUCCGAUUGCGAAGGCAGCAUACCGGCGCCCAACUGACGCUGAAGCACGAAAGCGUGGGUAUCGAACAGGAUUAGAUACCCGGGUAGUC